GACGAACGCUGGCGGCAUGCCUAAUACAUGCAAGUUGAACGAUGAUAUUCUCUGCUUGCAGCGAAUUGGAGAGUAGCGAACGGGUGAGUAACACGUGGGUAACCUGCCCAUGAGAGGGGGAUAACAUUCGGAAACGGAUGCUAAUACCGCAUAAUGCUUUGGACCGCCUGGUCCAGAGACGAAAGACGGCUUUUGCUGUCACUCAUGGAUGUCCCCGCGCCGUAUUAGCUAGUUGGUGGGGUAAUGGCUCACCAAAGCUGUGAUACGUAGCCGACCUGAGAGGGUGAUCGGCCACACUGGGACUGAGACACGGCCCAGACUCCUACGGGAGGCAGCAGUAGGGAAUCUUCCACAAUGGGCGAAAGCCUGAUGGAGCAAUGCCGCGUGAAUGAAGAAGGUCUUCGGAUCGUAAAGUUCUGUUAUUAGAGAAGAACAAGUCAAGGAGUAACUGUCUUGACUUUGACGGUACCUAACCAGAAAGUCACGGCUAACUACGUG
RNAcentral lists this ribosomal RNA (498 nucleotides) under uncultured bacterium. RNAcentral describes it as "partial 16S ribosomal RNA". It matches the Rfam family "Bacterial small subunit ribosomal RNA", at positions 28 to 507 of the family's 1533-position model. The record is from RNAcentral.